UACGAAGGGGGCUAGCGUUGCUCGGAAUCACUGGGCGUAAAGCGCACGUAGGCGGCUUUUUAAGUCAGGGGUGAAAUCCUGGAGCUCAACUCCAGAACUGCCUUUGAUACUGGGAAGCUUGAGUCCGGAAGAGGUGAGUGGAACUCCGAGUGUAGAGGUGAAAUUCGUAGAUAUUCGGAAGAACACCAGUGGCGAAGGCGAGUCUCUGGACAGUUACUGACGCUGAGGCACGAAGGCCAGGGGAGCAAACGGG
Molecule: ribosomal RNA, 253 nt
Filed under: uncultured bacterium
Lineage: Bacteria
Description: partial 16S ribosomal RNA
Rfam family: Bacterial small subunit ribosomal RNA
Source: RNAcentral